Molecule: long non-coding RNA, 456 nt
Filed under: Sinocyclocheilus anshuiensis
Lineage: Eukaryota; Metazoa; Chordata; Actinopteri; Cypriniformes; Cyprinidae
Description: lncRNA (ENSSANG00000015366.1)
Source: RNAcentral
UUGAUUGUGUUUUCUCUCUCUGUCUUCAGUCUGUAUGGAUGCAGUAUUACAGAGGAACAGAGUCUCGUCCUGACUUCAGCUCUGAACUCAAACCCAUCACACCUGAGAGAACUGAACCUGAGAGGGAAUACACUAGGAGACUCUGGAGUGAAGAACCUCAGUGAUCUACUGAUGAACACACGAUGCAAGCUGGAGAAACUAGAUCUGUGUUUAUGCAGUAUUACAGAGAAACAGAGUCUCGUCCUGACUUCAGCUCUGAACUCAAACCCAUCACACCUGAGAGAACUGGAUCUGAGUGAGAAUCACAUAACAAACACAGGAGUGAAUCACUUGUGUGACAUACUGAAGGAUUCACGCUGUAAACUGGAGAGAUUGAGAGUCCCUGAUAGAGUUCAGCCGUCACAGGAUGAUGGAUGCUGUAUAUCAUAGUUAGAGAUGAUGAUGAGAGGAGCAGUG